GUGUACGUAAUUUAAAAAAAAUAUCAAGUUGUGACCUUGAACAUAGACAACCUCGUACAC
This 60-nucleotide transfer RNA is filed under the name Sistrurus miliarius (pigmy rattlesnake). RNAcentral's name for it is "tRNA-His". The record is from RNAcentral. Lineage: Eukaryota; Metazoa; Chordata; Lepidosauria; Squamata; Viperidae.